CAUUGUAGUCAGAGAACAUUAUUUGUAUGAUUUAAAUCCUUUUAAAUUUAUUGAGACAUUUUAAUGGUCUAUCGUGGUGAAUGUUAUGUGUGCACUCAAACAUAUGCCUUCAGCUGCAUUUGGUUGGAGUAUUCUAUAGCAAUUUACUUUAUUUGUGUCUUUAUAAUUAAAGUCAUUUUUAUGUAGGCAGCAUAUAUUUGAGUCUUGCUUUUUAUUACAAUCUGACACUGUCUGCCUUUAAUUGGGUUAUUUAGACCAUUUACAUUUUAACUGAUUAUUGAGAUGGUUGAUUUUCAAUCAACAAUCUAUUUUUCUAUUAUCUCUUCUUUGCUUUCCUUUUCCUCUUUUUCUUUGUUUUGGAUUAUUUUUUAUGAUUCCAUUUUUAUCUCCUUUGUUGCCUUAUGAGCUUUGUUUUGUUUUGUUUUUUUUGGUAGUUGUUUUAGGGCUUACAGUAUAAAUCUUUAAUUUAUCAUAGUUUAGCUUCAUAUAAUAUACUGAUCCAUGUAUAGUAUAGAAUUAUGUAUAGAUUCAUAUGCAAUCAUAUAGAUUCAUAUUCAAUUACAGUAUAGAUUCACGUAUAGAACACGAAUUUCUCCUCUCUCAGCCUUUGUGCUAUUAUUGUCAUACACUUUACUUCUACAUGUUAUAAAUCCCACAAUACAUUGUGAUGAACUUUUAAAGAGAUUUAAAGAAUACGAAAAAUAAUCUUUUAUGUUUACCCAUAUAGUUACCAUUUCUAGUGCUCUUCAUUCCUUUGUGUAGAUACAGAUUUCUGAUAUCAUUUUCCUUUUGCCUGAAGUACUUCCUUUAAUAUUUCUUGUAUUGCAAGACUUCUGGUGAUGAGUUCUUUCAGCUUGUGUGUGUUUGAGGAAAAUCUUUAUUUUGCAUUUGUUUUUGAAAGGUAUUUUCACUAGGUAUAGAAUUAACUAGGUAUACGUUGACAGUUUUUUCCUCAGUCCUCUAAAGCUAUUGCUCCACUGCCUGCAGGAUUGUAUUGUUACCAAUGAAAAGUCUGCUGUUAUUUUUAUCCCUGUUCAUCUGUAUAUAAUAUGGUUUUCUCCUUCUGUUUUUUUUUUUGAAGGUUUCCUUUCUAUCUCUGGUUUUAAGCAAUUUAAUUAUGAUACUCUUUGGUGUGGUUCCCUUCAUGUUUGUCAUGCUUAGGGCUCAUUGACAUUUUUGAAUCUGUGGGUUUUUUAUUUUCAUAAAAUUUGGAAAGAUUUGGCCAUUAUUUGUUCAAAAUAUUUUCCUUUAGAGACUCUAAUUAAAUAUAUUAGAUCAUUUGAAUUUGUCCCAAAGCUCACUGAUGUUCUGUUCAUUGUUAAAAAUCUUUUUUUAUGUUCUAUGUUUCAUUAUGGAUAGUUUUUAUUGUUAUUUGUUCAAGUUUAACAAUCAUUUCUUCCAUAGUGUAUAAUCUGCUGUUAAUACCAUCCAAUGUUCUUUUUCAUCUCAGAUAGUGUGGUUUUCAUCUCUACAAGUUUGAUUUGGGUCUUUUCUGUAUAUUUCAUGUCUCUAAUUAACACACUCAAUCUUUCCUCUAUCUCCUUGAACAUAUGGAAUAUAGUUAUAAUAGCUAUUUUAAUAUAAUUGUCUAUUAAUUCUACCAUUGUGUCAUUUUUGGCUAAUUUUCAAUUGAUUGAUUUUUCUCCUAAUUAUGGACCAUAUUUUUCUGCUUCUUUGUAUGCCUGGUAAUUUUUGAUUGGAUGCUAGACAUUGUGAAUUUUAACUUUUUGAGUGUGGAUACUUUUGUUUUCCUAUGCAAAUUCUUGAGCUUUGUUCUGGGAUGCAAUUAUUUGUAAAUAGUUUGACCCUUUUGAGUCUUGCUUUUAAACGUUUUUUAGGUGGGUGCAGAGCAACAUUUAGCCUAAGGCUAAUUUUGACCCGCUAUAGAGACAAAACCCUUCUGAGUACUUCAUCCCAUCCAAUGUCCCAUGAAUUAUGAGAUUUGUCAUUCUGGCUAGUGAGAACAGAAACUAUUCCCAGUGCCAUGUGAACCCUGAGUAUUGUCCCUUCUAAACCUUUUGGGUGGUUCUCUCAUUGGCUUGGGUAGUUUCCUCACAUGUGUAUGUGAAUUAGUACUCAGCUGAAGACCCCAGGGGAAGCCUCCGAAGAUCUCUGGAGGUCUCUCUCACUGCAGCAUUCAUCUCCAGUACUCUUCCCUCCCAACUCCAGCUUCAUCUCUCAACUUGAGGAGAUUGUCAGGCUAUGCCUUGAUUCACCCUUACUGCUAGGGCAAUCAUAGGACUCAUUUCAUUUGUUUCCCAUCUCUGUCCUUUGUUGCCAGAUGACCAAUGUCUUGAAAAUUGUUGUUUAACAUAUUUUGCUCAGUGUUUAGUUGUUUUAGGUGGAAGAAUAAAUCCUGUCCCUGUUAUUCCAUUUUGAAUUGCAAGAAUCAGAAUUCUCUAAAAUUUUAAAAAACAUAUCUUUGACUCCAUACUUUUUGAUUAUAUCUUCAUACAUAUAGUGCAUUUAUAAUGGUGUACACUGCAUUAUUGAGUAUUUUCCUGACAAGAGAAAAAUUUUGUUUUGACUAGGCAUUGAUGAGAAAUUAAUCACCCACUUACAAUUUUACACAUCUGAUAACUGGAAGAAUGUUCCAGAGACCAGCCUCUGGCUCCACACAUUUAAAAUCUUGUUUCUCCUCCACUUACCACUUUACUUUUAGUGUGCAGUGCUAUAGGAUAUAUUUAUAAAAAUACAACCUUUGGUGCUGCUCCUUCAUGUCAUUAUGCAAGGUGAGACAGCAUGAUGACUGAUAGGCACAUUCCUGGAAGACAUUCCUAGACUGGGAUGGCUGCAAAACCUCAACUAUACAUGGAAGUGACUGUAAACCACACAAAUAUAUUUCACUCAAAAAUAGUCCCCUAUUCCACUUACCUUUAGCUGAAUUCCAAAAAUGCUUGUGGCCACCACUCCUAGGCCACCCAACAGGGGGGAAACUGUGAUAUCGGAGAAGUCAGAGUAAACAGAGACGGCAGUCUUAACUGAUCGCAAUUAAGAUACCUUACUUUUGCAAAGUUUAUAAAAACAUGACUAUAUGAACACUUUGCUUGGGCCCUUCCGGGCUUGGAAGGGGCUGUGCCAGUGAAGGCCCUUGAAGCUUAAACUUCAUUGGCUCCAUCGUAAAUCUGCCUCUGCACAUGAAACCUCCUUGAUUCAGGCUCCCAGUGGCUCACCAAAUAGAGUCCAAACUCUUUCUCAGGGCAGACCAUGCCUUUUCGUGUUCCCAUUUACUUCUCCAGAUCCACUUUCCGCCCCCCAGACUUCUCACCAUGCCUGUUGGCAACUCGGUGCAUUGCAUAUGUUCUCGUUCCCAUGAAUGCCUUUUCAUCCUCUUCGUCACCUGGGAGCAUCUGCCCCUCCUUCAAGACCAGGUCAAGUAUCAUUUCCUCUGUGAGAUCAUUCCUGAUUCCACAGGGGAUUAAUUGUGUUCCCACAGCUUGUUCCUACUUUUAUUAUACUCCAUGUAAUACCGUGUUUCGUGUUUGUCUCUUUCACCAGCAUCUAAAGCCCCUAAGGACCUGUAACUUACUUAUUUCUCUAUCUCAGUGCCCAAGUCAGUAAGUGGCACCUAGUAAGAGCUGCAGGAUGGAUGUUUGAAUGGAUGAAAUCUCUUUGUUUUUCUCCUACAGAGUGCUGGCUCUUACUUACUUACUUGGCUUAUUAAGAGUUUAUUUUUUUAUAUCAUCAACAGUAUAGUAAGAGCAAGACAUUUUUGAAGCAUAAUUAAAUGGACGAAUGAAUAAAUAAAUAAAUGUUGACAGAGUCAUCCUGACCCUUGUUUAACAGAUAGCUAUCGAGCACCUACUAUGUGUUGGUCACGUUCUAGGAGCUACAUAAUAUGAACACCUUGCCGACUGCUUACUUAUGCCCUAACUAGUCUGCAGUCUUAGAUUUCACCAUUUAAGGCUCACAACACUCCUGUGAGGUGGUUUCUGUUAUUCUCUCACCUUUUAAAACAAGUUUGAGCCUCCACCCGUGUCUUAGGCAGGGGCUGGGGUUGGUGCUCCCGACUUGGCCAUCAGGGAAGCGGUUGAGCACAGGUCUGGGGUGGGGAGCACCCCUGCCCACGCCAGCGUGUCUGCAGUGGGUCCCUUCCUGACUGCGUUCCCGGUCCUUUCCCAAGGAGGUGGGUGUGCGGCCAGAACUUGGUCCAGGGACAAUCACCGCGACUGAAACGCCAGGGGGCGCGAGCAAUUCAGCUUUCCGGUAAAGGGCGGCGCGUCGGAACCACUGGGCUUCCCACCUGGACGCACAGCCCCGGGGCCGCCCUUUCACCCGCCAGCGCCUUUCCACAGAGGCAACAAACAAUCCGCCGAGUACUCACUAUGUGCCCGGCACUUGCCUGCUUUAUCUCAUUUGAUCUUCACAAACCCCCAGGAAGGAGGUUCUCAUAUCUUCAUUUUACUGAUGCUGAAAUGAGGCUAGCAGAGGUUAACUGACUUGCCGGGGGCUACACAGAGAAUGAUAAAGCUCUCGUUCAGAACUGCUUUUCCUGCUCGUCCUGCUUUUGCAUCCCCAUGUCCUACUAGGCAGAGGGUACACAUACCCCUAUAAACGUAAACAGGUAUCCUUCUCCCUUCUGUUUAUUUAAAAUCCAGUGCUUCCAGACCCACAGAUUUCCCUGCUCUGCUGAACUUGUUAGGCAGUUGGGGCCCUAGCACCUAUAUGGGGCACCAGCUGCAUCCUACCCAGCACUGCCCUGAGAUGUCUGAUCUACAAGACUUGUUUCCCCAUUAGAAUGGAAAUUCCAGCCCUUAGUGUGAGGCUUGACACAGAGCCCGUGCUUAAUAAGCACACUGAAUAAAUAACGGGCAGGCACAGCAUGUGUGUGCAUGUGCGUGUGUGCCUGUUUGUGUCCUCAACAUAGCUCAGGGCCGUCACUGAGUCAGUAGCAACGAACACCCGUUGAAAAUAUGUGAAUGAGGAUUUAAUAGUUUAACAUUUCUAUUUUGUUCUCCCUCCUUUAUGUUUGUAUUCAGCUGGGACUGCAAACUCGCAGAAGGUAAGCAGGAGGAAUGCGGGCGUGUGUGUGUGUGUGUGUGUGUGUGUGUGUGUGUAUGUGUGUGUGUGUGUGUGUGGUGGGAGGGACGUACUGGGGGAAAGUGAGGAGGUACAGGGCAGGGAGCAGAGCUUUCCCAUGGUGAGAAUAAGGCCCACAUAGAGAAUGAGAGAGAGAGAGAUGCCAAGAUCUGAGUUAGAGCAGAAGGAAAAUGAGCCCUGAAUAGGAGCCUUGUGUGUGGCCCUGUGGUGCUGACUCACCAGGACUCAGGAGAGGGAAAACAAGCUGGGGAUGAAGAAGGGGCCUGUAUGCUGUGGUCACCAGCCCCAAAUCACCCUACCACCCUGAGGACACCCUGUCUGCUCUGAUGCCCAAACAGUCCUGGAAGGCUUUGAUUUGGCUUGAGCAGGCUGGGGGAGCAGGGGGAACGGGGCAUGGGGGAGCAGGAGGGUGGGCACUAACCCCAGAGAAGGGAGAUGGGUAAGUCUUUUGAGAAUGCAAAAGGCCCUUCCUGGGAGAGCUGUGUGUUUGAGUUCAGGUGGGGAAGGAGGACCAGGACAAGGCGGGGACUCUCUCACCAAGCACUCAGCUGCCCCCUCCUCCACAGGCAGUGUGGGAGAUCAGACUCACAAACAGGGAGGGGAGAGAUGCUCAUGGCUUCACUGGCUUUCUGUCCAUACCUGAGGAGCAAGGCAUGCCUUAUAAGUGCUUCCCAGAGCUGAUGCUAGACAGAGGGAUGUACAGCCUGGCAGUAGAAGCUCCACCACCUUCCUCACUCCCAGCCUCAUCUCAGCUGUGAAACCGGUUCAGAGACAUGAGGACAGGAUUUUUGUGGCAACAAGCGUGCCAAGCAGCCCUAGGCCAGUGGACAGAGGGCAAGUCCUGAAUAAGGGGCAGCUCAGGUGAACAAGAUCAAAGCCCAGGUAUUGUAGAGAAGCAGGUGAGAGGAGGAAGGAGUGCCCGAGGGAGCAGCCAGGGCUGGGCUAGGAAUUCCUGGUCCCAGGUCAGCUCAGGGAGGAGCAGUCGGCUGAGGCCAAAUGAGGGAGCCAGACUGACUUUAUACUCUGAGCUCUGCCAUGAACUAGCCAUGUAAGCUUGAGCAGUCACCUGGCCUUUCUGGGCCUCAUUCUCCUCAUCUGUAAUAUGAGGGAAGCUCUAAGCUUCCUUCUAGCUCCCACGUUUGAUGACUGUGUAGGCAAACCUUCCCUCUCCUCUCUCUUCACCAAAAUCCCCAUUCAUUCCUUCUGUGGCCUGUUCCUAGCUGAAAUCUCAAAAGAAAGCUGCUAACUAGUGGAUUCAUACUUAGAUAUAUGACUGACAAUAAGCUAAUAUUCUAAACUCCCCAAAUGUAUUACUAUUUUGACUGUAGUGUGGUCGGUGGAAGGAGAGUGGACUUGAAGGCCAAAUGCAGGUUUGAAUCCAAACUAUGGCACUGAAUCUCAGCCCUGCUUUACUGUAGGACCUUGAACAAUUUACUGUACCUCAGUAGGUCUUAAUUACCUUAUGGGUCAAGUAGGAAUAACCUGCUUUUUUCUUAAUAGUUGUGUUGACUAAAUGAAGUAACAUAAAAUAUGUGGGCACCAAAUAAAAUACUCGGAAAAUGUUCUGCCCUCCUUUAGAGAACUUAUUUAUGACCAAAAGGAACAGAAUAGAGUCCGAGAUGGAGAUUAGGGUGCAGGCGGCUUACCGGGGAGUACCCUUGGGAUGCACGUGAAGGAGAGAAGGGGGAGGGGAAGUUGAGCUGUAGUCUCCAGAGGACUCAGUCAGCCCUGUAGGGGGUCUGGAGCUGAGAUGACCCUUCAGAGUUCUCUUGAUUUCGGACAAGGGCUGGGUGUUUAUACUCCACACCUACUAGUCUUUGGGUAUGAACUGCUUAUGAUUUCUUUCAGUUACGGCAAUUCCUAUAGGGGGCUUACAGCCAUCAGCAUUCCCUAAAGCUAGGGAAAUAAAUCCUUCCUUCCUGAAGGGGACCUGAGCGUCUACCACGUUGAGUUAGUGAGCAGAACUCUUGUCAAAUCAAGUAGGUGCCUCCCCAGGGCUAAAGGCCAGUCUUGUUGCAGCACGACCAGUAAUUUCUCAGAACUCAGUUUCACGGUGGCGUGGACAGGCCACAGGAUACUGCUGUGCUCCCCCAGUCUAACAGCAGCACAAACAUUCACACUGCUGGGAGAAGAGACGCUGCUUUUACAUCCCUCCCAGGAAAAAAGUCACUUGUAGGUGUCCCUGAAGGACCUAUUGGAUUCUUUUCAAAGCUUGAUCUUCAUUUCUCUUUUGCUUAUAGAGAUCUAGAGGGCAGGAGGGGACAUUUAUGGGUGAUGCAGUAUUUUGGCAACAAGGUCCUUUCUCACCUUGCUUUUUCCCAGGUCUUCCCUACAAAUUACUUGAGAGUGUUUUGCAGAGUGCUGUGACCUGGGAGCUCCUUCUUCUACCAGCCCAAGCCCAUGGAGAGAGCACGCGACAUUGGUGUCUGUCAGUCUCCCUUUAACAGGACUCAGCUCUUGGGUGCCUGUCUCUGACCUCAUCCUAAGACCAAGACAAGCCAACUGCAACAUAAGGCAAACACGGGGAGAUACUGCAGAACUCCAGGUCCAUGUCUAUUGCACAUAUAUACUGGGCUGCGAUGGAAAACGUACAUCUUACUGGGAGUCCUAAAUCAAAAAAAGUUUGAGAGCUUGAAGUAAGCAUACCCCAAAGUGUGUCCAGUGGAACGACAGUCCCACAAAACACCAUGGAGAAAGCAGGACGGGAGAGCAGGAGCUGGCAGUACAAUUCAUGACCUUGACAUUAGACCUGCUGAGCUGUCUCUCA
This is a non-coding RNA of Equus caballus (horse), 7807 nucleotides long. The record is from RefSeq and is a predicted model, not a curated record. Lineage: Eukaryota; Metazoa; Chordata; Mammalia; Perissodactyla; Equidae.